Molecule: transfer RNA, 74 nt
Filed under: Nitrosomonadales bacterium
Lineage: Bacteria; Pseudomonadati; Pseudomonadota; Betaproteobacteria; Nitrosomonadales
Description: tRNA-Gln
Rfam family: tRNA
About the family: Transfer RNA (tRNA) molecules are approximately 80 nucleotides in length. Their secondary structure includes four short double-helical elements and three loops (D, anti-codon, and T loops). Further hydrogen bonds mediate the characteristic L-shaped molecular structure. tRNAs have two regions of fundamental functional importance: the anti-codon, which is responsible for specific mRNA codon recognition, and the 3' end, to which the tRNAs corresponding amino acid is attached (by aminoacyl-tRNA synthetases). tRNAs cope with the degeneracy of the genetic code in two manners: having more than one tRNA (with a specific anti-codon) for a particular amino acid; and 'wobble' base-pairing, i.e. permitting non-standard base-pairing at the 3rd anti-codon position.
Source: RNAcentral
UGCCGUGUGGUGUAAUGGCAGCACAGUAGCCUUUGAAGUUAUUAGUCUUAGUUCGACUCUAAGCAUGGCUGCCA